Molecule: unclassified non-coding RNA, 239 nt
Filed under: uncultured fungus
Lineage: Eukaryota; Fungi
Description: sequence contains ITS2
Source: RNAcentral
AACGCACAUUGCGCCCUUUGGUAUUCCGAGGGGCAUGCCUGUUCGAGCGUCAUUAUAACCACUCAAGCCUUGGCUUGGUAUUGGGGUUCGCGGUUUCGCGGCCCUUAAAAUCAGUGGCGGUGCCAUCUGGCUCUCAGCGUAGUAGUUUAUCUCGCUAUUGGGUCCGGUGGUUGCUUGCCAAUAACCCCCAACUUCUCACGGUUGACCUCGGAUCAGGUAGGGAUACCCGCUGAACUUAA